UCGUCUGAUCUGCAUUUAGAUUAAACUGGACCGACUGUCUUUUGGGCAGCUACUCCGGUAGCCGAAUCAAAGGCCCGUGGUUAACUGGCUUCUUGCAGAAAAUAAAAAACAGCUAAUGAGUGCAUCCCUUCGCUCCUCACACCGCUUCAUCCUCUCCCCGCCGCCACCCACGAUAGCAUCUCGUCCCUCCUUGUAUCCCCGCACGCCGAUGUCGCUGCCUACACCUCCGCAUCCCUCGUCCACCUCACGGCGCAAUCCUCCACCGUGGAAUCCGGUGCAGGACCGCGCCCAAGCGCGUGUACAACGGAGAGAUGGCGGCUGGUGGCGGCGGCCUGUUCAAGAUGUGAAGGCGGAAGGGAAGGUUGGUGCGAGGCUAUCCGACGACGGUCACCUAGAUGUGGCUGGUGGUGGCGGCGGAUUAAGGUGGGCGCGUUGGCAGGGCUUCUCUCCUUCCCCUCCUCCCAAUCUCCUCUGUGCACCCGCAUGAAGAGUAGCAGCAGCCGACAGCUGAUGCUCCUCCGACCUGACUGCACGGUGUCCAGCACCUCGCAACGCCAACCUACAGCCCGUCCGCCCGCCCCCAGCACCCAAUUCACACUCAUAUAUAUGUGGAUGUAGUGCGCAAUUUGAUUGUAUAUGAUACGAGGUAGUUAAAGUUGAUGCAAUAGUCAAUUUGAUUAGAGGAUGUACCAUGUUUGUAUGGCAGAGUAAGAGCCACCUCCGCCCACUAACCCGAUGCAGCAUCACUGUUGAACACCUGUACUCUGCCCCAACCAGCUCUCAUGGGGCACGACUCUGACCUUUACAGAUCUGGCAGGCGUCAUCUCGAGCACAUGGUAUUUCAGUUUUAAACUUGUCAUAUUUGUGUGCAUUGAGCAAACAGCAAGCCUCACACAGCUGAUUGGUUCCAUUAAUCUACAAUUGAUACGUGCAUAUGUGAAAAAGUUACAUAAGAUGCCUUGAGACAAUUUUGGUGGAUAAAAAGGAUAUCUGAACUACUUUUUACCGCAGUAACAUCUACUACCUCCGUUCGAAAAUAAGUGGGGUGGUUUUAGUUCAGUUUGAAAACUACGCCACUUAUUUCCUAACAAAGGGAAUACAUGUUUGUCUUCCUGGUCUUUUCUUAGAAUGCCAUAACAUGUAUUUAAGUCUGCAGUAUGCUCUAGAUGAUGCAUAGUAAAAAAAACCUACAUAACAUUUCUGCAAUUUCUGAUGGACAGAGACGAUAUCACCAAGUUAUAUUUACAAGAUGCAAAUGAAUGCAUUCUCCAUAAUAAUAGGUAAAAAUACUGUUUCAAAUAACUUAGAUGGGUAAGUUGGGUUUGUCCUUCCUAAUAACUAUUUAGUACAUGCUCUCCAUCUGCUCUCACGUAUGGAGAAUCAUAAUCACAUUGAAUCUAAUGAUCAGCCUUGGAUAGACUCUCAUAACUCAUGGAGAUCAUUGCAUAUUGACACACAAGCAGAUUGUCAAGAUUUGUCUGGCAAUACUGAUAUUUGUAAUCUUCUUGAGAGGUAAUUUUCCUCUAAUUCCCAGUAUAUAUUUUUGCAUAUUUCCACCUGUGCAUGCACUUAGGUUCACUCGUAGCAAAACUUAUUUUUAUGUAGACAAUACUGAGAUGCAAGUGUUCCGUAAAACUUUGCUAGCCUGCCAAUAAAAAGCCACUACAAGUUCGGCUUUGUAAAUAUAAUUUCUAAAUUUAACUCUUUGGUGCUUAUCUGCUUUGGUUACUAUUUUGGGAUUUUAUCUCCAAUGUUUAUGUAUGCAACUUGCCCGAUUCCACUAUUCGUGUAAUUGCACUUGUUCAAUUCUCCUUUUCAUAUAACUGCACCUCGUUUUAAUGAAUAUAUUACAGAUACUAAUGAAUGUCAUCCAAAGUGCUUUCCUCUUGGGUCUAUUGUAGAAGGAUUAGCUUAAUUUUUUUCACUUUACUUUCUUAGACAAGCAACUGAAAGUUUGAUUCCGCUUCAUGUCUUCCCGUUGCAAUAUUUGGUCCUUUGACCGGGAACGUUCUUCUUCCAAAAUGAAAGUGCUUCUGGAAUCGGCAACAAGGUUAACCUUGAGAUGAUGAUAGUAAUUGAUAUGGAUAGUUCGGAAUGUGAGAACAGACAAAAAAGCUAUUCAUUCUGCCUCAACAUACUUUGCAUCAUGUCGAUCCGGAUGACGAGACCAUACUAUCACACUACUUUGCUUUAGAGGAAGUGUUUCGAUGUCUACUCCUUCUAGCUACAUACUUCACAGAUAAUGGUAUGUGUUUACAGCUCUUGACUCACGUAGUCUCGGUGUAGUUCAUAUUGAUGUUCAGCUUUAGUUAUCAAUAAAUUUGCAUCAGUGCUUGUGUUUUGUACUUGACAGUACCACAUUAAUUCACAGUAAACAGGUUGAAAUCAUCUCUUCAAACUUAAAAUAUGAAAAAUUAACUUCGUUUAAUAUUUAUUAUGGAUGUACCUAUUGUUCUAUUGCAGAACUAGAAUGAGCGACAACUUGCAUCAUCAUAUUUCUUAUUUACAUUAUUCAGUUCAUACAUUUGAUAUGGCAAAAUUCACACUUGUAAUGAUCACACAUUACUCGUUUGCAUUUUCCACAUGUGAAAGCUAGGACAAGAAGCCGUCGACGAGCACCUGAGGCUCUACUUUGUUGCUAAUUAUGAUGAUUGAUGUGGUUGUGUGCCAUUGACAUUGACAACGUUACAUAAAUUCUGUUUUUUUUUGGUAAAUACUAAAAAGAAUCGGAUGCGAAGUAGUGCAAGUGAUGCUGAGAAGGUGGCCCACUGAAGCAAAAAAAGGGAAUUGGGUAUUAGGAGCACAAGGAAAACGCCAAGCUGUGGAGCCAUACCAAGGACAGUGCAUGCCCGACAGAGGUGAGGGAACACUAUGUAAACUAAGAUCACAACGUUUGAGACAGUGUGCAAUAUUAUGUUCAUGGAUGCUUCUAUUUA
Hordeum vulgare subsp. vulgare (domesticated barley) is the source of this 2936-nucleotide long non-coding RNA. RefSeq lists it as uncharacterized. The transcript is spliced from 2 exons. The record is from RefSeq and is a predicted model, not a curated record. Lineage: Eukaryota; Viridiplantae; Streptophyta; Magnoliopsida; Poales; Poaceae.